GACGAACGCUGGCGGCGUGCCUAAUACAUGCAAGUUGAGCGCUGAAGGUUGGUACUUGUACCGACUGGAUGAGCAGCGAACGGGUGAGUAACGCGUGGGGAAUCUGCCUUUUAGCGGGGGACAACAUUUGGAAACGAAUGCUAAUACCGCAUAAAAACUUUAAACACAAGUUUUAAGUUUGAAAGAUGCAAUUGCAUCACUCAAAGAUGAUCCCGCGUUGUAUUAGCUAGUUGGUGAGGUAAAGGCUCACCAAGGCGAUGAUACAUAGCCGACCUGAGAGGGUGAUCGGCCACCUUGGGACUGAGACACGGCCCAAACUCCUAAGGGAGGCAGCAGUAGGGAAUCUUGGGCAAUGGACGAAAGGCUGACCGAGCAACGCCGCGUGAGGGAAGAAGGUUUUCGGAUCGUAAAACUCUGUUGGUAGAGAAGAACGUUGGUGAGAGUGGAAAGCUCAUCAAGUGACGGUAACUACACAGAAAGCGACGGCUAACUACGUG
RNAcentral lists this ribosomal RNA (497 nucleotides) under uncultured bacterium. RNAcentral's name for it is "partial 16S ribosomal RNA". It matches the Rfam family "Bacterial small subunit ribosomal RNA", at positions 28 to 507 of the family's 1533-position model. The record is from RNAcentral.